AGAGUUUGAUCCUGGCUCAGAAUCAACGCUGGCGGCGUGCCUAACACAUGCAAGUCGAACGCACCGCAAGGUGAGUGGCAGACGGGUGAGUAACGCGUGGGAACGUGCCCUUCAGUUCGGGAUAACCCAGGGAAACUUGGGCUAAUACCGGAUACGUGCGAGAGCAGAAAGAUUUAUCGCUGAAGGAUCGGCCCGCGUCUGAUUAGCUAGUUGGUGGGGUAAUGGCCCACCAAGGCGACGAUCAGUAGCUGGUCUGAGAGGAUGAUCAGCCACAUUGGGACUGAGACACGGCCCAAACUCCCACGGGAGGCAGCAGUGGGGAAUAUUGGACAAUGGGCGCAAGCCUGAUCCAGCCAUGCCGCGUGAGUGAUGAAGGCCUUAGGGUUGUAAAGCUCUUUCGUCCGGGACGAUAAUGACGGUACCGGAAGAAGAAGCCCCGGCUAACUUCGUGCCAGCAGCCGCGGUAAUACGAAGGGGGCUAGCGUUGUUCGGAAUUACUGGGCGUAAAGCGCGCGUAGGCGGACUUUUAAGUCAGGGGUGAAAUCCCAAGGCUCAACCUUGGAACUGCCUUUGAUACUGAGGGUCUGGAGUUCGGGAGAGGUGAGUGGAAUUCCGAGUGUAGAGGUGAAAUUCGUAGAUAUUCGGAGGAACACCAGAAGCGAAGGCGGCUCACUGGCCCGAUACUGACGCUGAGGCGCGAAAGCGUGGGGAGCAAACAGGAUUAGAUACCCUAGUAGUCC
This 740-nucleotide ribosomal RNA is filed under the name uncultured bacterium. Its description in RNAcentral is "bacterial SSU rRNA". It matches the Rfam family "Bacterial small subunit ribosomal RNA", at positions 8 to 796 of the family's 1533-position model. The record is from RNAcentral.